RNAcentral lists this ribosomal RNA (301 nucleotides) under uncultured bacterium. Its description in RNAcentral is "partial 16S ribosomal RNA". It matches the Rfam family "Bacterial small subunit ribosomal RNA", at positions 509 to 807 of the family's 1533-position model. The record is from RNAcentral.
CAGUCGCCGCGGUAAUACGAAGGGUGCAAGCGUUACUCGGAAUUACUGGGCGUAAAGCGUGCGUAGGUGGUGGUUUAAGUCCGUUGUGAAAGCCCUGGGCUCAACCUGGGAAUUGCAGUGGAUACUGGGUCACUAGAGUGUGGUAGAGGAUAGUGGAAUUUCCGGUGUAGCAGUGAAAUGCGUAGAGAUCGGAAGGAACAUCUGUGGCGAAGGCGACCAUCUGGGCCAACACUGACACUGAGGCACGAAAGCGUGGGGAGCAAACAGGAUUAGAUACCCCCGUAGUCCCUGUCUCUUAUAC